This is a regulatory RNA element of Ruminococcus sp. CAG:57, 50 nucleotides long. It matches the Rfam family "pemK RNA". The record is from Rfam. NCBI's taxonomy places the organism in Bacteria, Bacillati, Bacillota, Clostridia, Eubacteriales, Oscillospiraceae.
AUAAUGAUACUUCCCAGUGAGGGCUAAGAGAGCGGGUGAGAGUCCCAUGA